CGCGAACGGCUCAUUAUAACAGCUAUAAUUUACUUGAUCUUGACUUCCUACUUGGAUAAGUGUGGUAAUUCUAGAGCUAAUACAUGCACCAAAGCUCCGACCUUACGGGAAGAGCGCAUUUAUUCUAACAAAACCAAGCGGCUUCGGCCGUCCGCAGUCGACUCAAAAUAACUAAGCUGAUCGCAUGGUCUUGAACCGGCGACGUGUCUUUCAAGUAUCUGCCUUAUCAACUUUCGAUGGUAGUGUAUCUGACUACCAUGGUGGUGACGGGUAACGGAGGAUAAGGGUUCGACUCCGGAGAAGGGGCCUGAGAAAUGGCCACUACCUCUAAGGAUGGCAGCAGGCGCGCAAAUUACCCACUCUCAUAAUGAGGAGGUAGUGACGAGGAAUAACGAGACCGUUCUCUACCAGGCCGGUCAUCGGAAUGGGUACAAUUUAAACCCUUUAACGAGUAUCUAUGAGAGGGCAAGUCUGGUGCCAGCAGCCGCGGUAAUUCCAGCU
Molecule: ribosomal RNA, 501 nt
Filed under: Merlinius joctus
Lineage: Eukaryota; Metazoa; Nematoda; Chromadorea; Rhabditida; Merliniidae
Description: SSU rRNA
Rfam family: Eukaryotic small subunit ribosomal RNA
Source: RNAcentral